CAGUCGCCGCGGAAUACGUAGGUGGCAAGCGUUGUCCGGAAUUAUUGGGCGUAAAGGGCUCGCAGGCGGUUUCUUAAGUCUGAUGUGAAAGCCCCCGGCUCAACCGGGGAGGGUCAUUGGAAACUGGGAGACUUGAGUGCAGAAGAGGAGAGUGGAAUUCCACGUGUAGCGGUGAAAUGCGUAGAGAUGUGGAGGAACACCAGUGGCGAAGGCGACUCUCUGGUCUGUAACUGACGCUGAGGAGCGAAAGCGUGGGGAGCGAACAGGAUUAGAUACCCCGGUAGUCCCUGUCUCUUAUACA
RNAcentral lists this ribosomal RNA (301 nucleotides) under uncultured bacterium. Its description in RNAcentral is "partial 16S ribosomal RNA". It matches the Rfam family "Bacterial small subunit ribosomal RNA", at positions 509 to 808 of the family's 1533-position model. The record is from RNAcentral.